This is a long non-coding RNA of Pieris rapae (cabbage white), 220 nucleotides long. RefSeq lists it as uncharacterized. NCBI's taxonomy places the organism in Eukaryota, Metazoa, Arthropoda, Insecta, Lepidoptera, Pieridae. The transcript has 2 exons. The record is from RefSeq and is a predicted model, not a curated record.
GUCAAUUAAUCAAAAUAAAAAUAAAGUUGUUUUUCUCUGUUUUUAUACGGUUUACACCUAUAACGAUACUAAAAUAUAUAAAUAACGAUGUCAGCAAGCAGCCAACGGGCAAACAAGGACCGUACUAACUUGGCUCAAAAAGAAACCGCCAAAUUGAUGAUGCUACUCAAGGAUUACCCAGUCCUAACCUGAAAAGAAACGGAUCACUCCAGCUAUCUAU